Molecule: long non-coding RNA, 3323 nt
Organism: Pteropus alecto (black flying fox)
Lineage: Eukaryota; Metazoa; Chordata; Mammalia; Chiroptera; Pteropodidae
Exons: 2
Source: RefSeq, a predicted model, not a curated record
ACAGCCUCGCCAGCACGUGGUAUCAUCCCUUUUAAAAUCCGAGUCAUCCCAGUGGGUGUGUCAUGGUGGCUCUGACUUCGCCUACAUGCUCUGUCAGAUGGUGGUGGGUCCUUUAAAGGUGCCCAUUUUAUAGGGAGUUGCUGAGGCCGGAGGCCAGGCAGGGACCGGCUGAGAGGUUGCAGCUGUACCGUCACCGGCUCCUUCUAGCCCAGGGAGCCAGGCGCCUGGGGUGGCUGAACGCGGGAGGUACAUGGGCGGGCGUAACUCUGAUGCCCACCUCCUCCAGGUGCCCCGUAUGCCCAUGGAUCUCUUCCCACUCACCCACCAGGUCAGAGAUCAAAUAGGAAUGAUAAUCCUACGGAUGACAGCAGUUAGCACUGAACGCUGACUGCGCCACUCCGUGCCAGCCCAUUUCAGUUUGAACUGGGUCGUCCUCAGAAUAUUAACACUCCCAUUUAGCGCGUGAGGAAACUGAGGCACUGGGAGGCCGAGUGACUCGCCCAACGUCCCAGAGUUAGGGAAGGUGGCCUCUGAGGCACAGAACCCAAACUUGGAAACACCUCGCUCGGGCUAGCCCUGGGCUGGAAGGGACUCGGGGUCGGUCCCCUGGCAGAUGGGGCUGUUGCAUGGUUUCAUUUAUACGCAAUGUCAGAAUAGGCAAAUCCGCACAGACAGAAAGUGGAUCGCGGUUUGUCAGGAGCGGGAGAGGGGUGGGACUUACUGCUGGUGGGUAUAGGGUUUCUUUCUUAGGUGAUGGAACCAGACAGAGGCCGUGGCUGCCCCACACUGUGCAUGCCACUGACAGUAUAUCACACAGGGUUAAGGUGGGAAAUUGUAUGUUUUACCACAAUGAUGAAAAGAGAGCAGCCGGGGGGCGGGGCGGGAUCUGCUCGCAGUGGGCAGAUCUGGGUCCUGGCUCUGCCUCCGACCAACUGCGUGACCUCCAGCAGGACACCCCACACCUCGGGACCUCAACUGGCGCAUCUGUAAAGUGGGCUCCGAUGCGGUCUCUGCCCCCAGGGGCUGUUUUAGGGGACGCAGGCCUCGGCGUGGGGCUUCGGGUCUCAGCGCUGCGGGUCCUUCCUGCCGUCGCCCCACUGUUUAUAUUAAAGGCGGAUCGUCGCAUGCGCCGUCUUCCCGCGCCCACGGGAGUGCAGUGACCGCAGCUUGGAUUUGCUGCCAGCGUCAUUGGGGCGGGCUGAGGGUCAGCGCGGAGCCAACACGGGGGGCAGGGCGGAUCCGAGUCUCAGGACCGAGCACCAGGGAAGCGGUCAGCGGCAUGAGGGCCACGUGGCAGGAACAGCGCACGCCAGGCGCCUCUUAGGGGCCCCGGGACCGGUCUGCCCGCGGACGCCCCGUGGCCAGCUUGCGAGCAGCGGCAGGACGGUGACAGCAUCGCUCCCUGGACUCCAUUUCUUUACCGGGCAAAGUCUGAGCCUUCGCCUCAGCUGCGCCCCCCAGAUAUGCUCCCGCUGUACCCCACGGGCCCUGGCGCCACUGACCUGCAUGAUCUUCUGCAGCUGCCUGUCGUCAUCCACCACAAAGACGUUCAUCUCUGAGCUUUCGGCGAUGACUUGGCAGACUUUCGGGGAACUGGUGGGUGAGACACCAACAGAGAAGCCUCUGGAAUCAGAACCCAAAGCUUCUUUUUAUCAGCUUUGGUUACCCGCCCUGCUCUGGCCACAGACAACAGCCGUCUCAAGACUGCACGUCCUGGACGUUCCUCCCUGUGGCCGGCCCUUGUGACAUCACUGUGGUUCUGCAGCCCGGAGCCACGAUGGCAACAUAGCCUGCUGCCCCUUUGCAGAGGUGGGUCUUGGAGGGCAGGGUUCCAUCCAAGAAGGCCCUUCUCUGUCCGCCCCAACAGCCAGUGCUUUCCAAGGUGACAGUCGCCAGGGAGGAGCCAGCAGCAAAGUCUCAGGUUUAAGUCUAGCAGCUGGAGGGGCUCCAUAGUUAACUGCCCAGCACCGUUGGCUUUGAGUGAAGGACUCCAAAAGAGAGCCUGAAAAAGAUUAGCGAGAUGGAGGAGGCCCACUCGGAGGCUGUGCCCUCAUGGCGGCCAAGAAAGUGGUGUUUCAAAGAGCAAGGCAAGGUCAGCUGAGUCACUGUGCCUGGGGUCGUGAACUCACUUGCCCGCCGGGUGCGGGCUGUAGAUAGAGUCGUCUCCCAGAUGUGUGUACAGCUACAUUUUCAAAUGUCGGAUGUUGCUGAGAUCAUCGAUAAACUGAGAAAUCAUUUAAAAGCCUCUCUAGUUCCUCAAAAAAAAAUAAACAUAAAAUUAUCAUAUGACCCAACAAUCCCAUUUCUGGGUCCACACCUAAGAGGAUCGAAAGCAGGAACUAGAAGAGAGAUUCGCACACCCAUGUUCUCAGCAGCAUCAUUCACAACGGCCAAAAGGAAACAGCCACUGCCCGUUACAGGUGAGUAGAUUCAAAAAAUGUGGUCCAUCCGGCCAGUGAAACAUUAGUCGGCCUUAAAAAGGAGAUCCUCACGUGUGCUACGACGUGGAUGACCCUUGAGGACUUUGUGCUCAGUGGAAUAAGCCGGUUACAAAAAGACAAACGUUCUUAUAUUCCACUCGUGUGAGGCACUCAAGUCAGAUUCGUAGAGGCAGAAGGCAGAAGGGCGGCCGCCAGGGGACAGGGUUUGAGGUCUUGUUUACUGUGUACAGGGUUUCCGUUUUACUAAUGUACUAAUGCCACUGAACUACGCAUUUAAAAAUGGUUAAAGUGGAAAUUUAACAUAAGAUGAUAAAUGUCGUGUUUGCCGCAACUUAAAGAAGUAAAUGUUAGGGGGGAAAAAAGCCUUUCUGGACGUGGUAGUUUCUUGUCAUUUCUUAAGAAACAGCUAUUAAGAGAACAAUGAAGCCAGGGUGAGAAUCACAGGGAAGCAUAUUUCUCUACGGAGUUUGAGUAGCUUUUGACAAUCUAAUCAACUGUUUAUAUUUCUUUGAUGAUGAAUAAAUUUCGAAAAGGAAGUGAGAAAAUAUUUGCCAAAGAGAUGCUCAUCUGUGUAAAAAGUCCGUACGUUUUGAGAAGUAGAUUGACUGUGAAGUGUCUAGAUUUAAUAUUAAUGUACAAAAAUCUAGUUUCCCAUAUAUCAGCAUUAACCACCUAGAAAAAGAGGGAAAUCACAUCCAGUUUAUGGAAACAUAAACUAGAAUUAAAUUCACUGAAAAUUGUACAAUUACAGAUAAAAUCAUUACGAUUUCCUAGAGAAAAGACAAGGAUUGAAAAAGACACCAUCUCAACGAAUGGGAACGCUCAAUAUUGUAAAAGUUAUUUUGCCGCAGAUUAAUCAAUAAAAAGCAAUUUCGAUCGAAA